Molecule: ribosomal RNA, 710 nt
Filed under: uncultured Citrobacter sp.
Lineage: Bacteria; Pseudomonadati; Pseudomonadota; Gammaproteobacteria; Enterobacterales; Enterobacteriaceae
Description: bacterial SSU rRNA
Rfam family: Bacterial small subunit ribosomal RNA
Source: RNAcentral
UGCAAGUCGAACGGUAGCACAGAGAGCUUGCUCUUGGGUGACGAGUGGCGGACGGGUGAGUAAUGUCUGGGAAACUGCCUGAUGGCGGGGGAUAACUACUGGAAACGGUAGCUAAUACCGCAUAACGUCGCAAGACCAAAGAGGGGGACCUUCGGGCCUCUUGCCAUCAGAUGUGCCCAGAUGGGAUUAGCUAGUAGGUGGGGUAAUGGCUCACCUAGGCGACGAUCCCUAGCUGGUCUGAGAGGAUGACCAGCCACACUGGAACUGAGACACGGUCCAGACUCCUACGGGAGGCAGCAGUGGGGAAUAUUGCACAAUGGGCGCAAGCCUGAUGCAGCCAUGCCGCGUGUAUGAAGAAGGCCUUCGGGUUGUAAAGUACUUUCAGCGAGGAGGAAGGCAUUAAGGUUAAUAACCUUGGUGAUUGACGUUACUCGCAGAAGAAGCACCGGCUAACUCCGUGCCAGCAGCCGCGGUAAUACGGAGGGUGCAAGCGUUAAUCGGAAUUACUGGGCGUAAAGCGCACGCAGGCGGUCUGUCAAGUCGGAUGUGAAAUCCCCGGGCUCAACCUGGGAACUGCAUCCGAAACUGGCAGGCUAGAGUCUUGUAGAGGGGGGUAGAAUUCCAGGUGUAGCGGUGAAAUGCGUAGAGAUCUGGAGGAAUACCGGUGGCGAAGGCGGCCCCCUGGACAAAGACUGACGCUCAGUGCGAAA